RNAcentral lists this long non-coding RNA (199 nucleotides) under Phoenix dactylifera (date palm). RNAcentral's name for it is "long non-coding RNA (PDAC_LNC008354)". Lineage: Eukaryota; Viridiplantae; Streptophyta; Magnoliopsida; Arecales; Arecaceae. The record is from RNAcentral.
AGUGAUCCUAUGUGAUUUGUUAGACUGAGUUCUAAGACCUUGGCCAGGGCAGUAAUAUAAAGUGGAGAAAGAGUUUUCCACUAUCGAACUCGAGUCAAAUAAAUCUUGACAUAUAACAGACGAAGAGGUUUGACGAGUUAUCCAUGACCUCCGUCCUGUAGGGAUCCACGAUAGAAGGACUGUAUCACAUGAUAACUGC